Amphiprion ocellaris (clown anemonefish) is the source of this 4191-nucleotide long non-coding RNA. Lineage: Eukaryota; Metazoa; Chordata; Actinopteri; Pomacentridae. The record is from Ensembl.
CGGAAAGAAAGUCACCUUUAUUUGAUGGAUAUAAACAAGCUGGCCGACACUCAAUAGUAAUAUUCUGAUACAGCACAUACAAUAGCAAACAGGGGCACUGAGGACAGCCUCCUAUUGUUUAAAAAACAAAAAACAUUACAGAGUAUCCAUGCUUCAUUCAAAAUGUACUCAAUCUCACAGUUUUUUUUCUCUAGGGACUCUCUGAUAAAGUUUUUUUAAAUAGAAUUUUCUCUUGUGCAUUCAUAACACACACACACACACACACACACACACACACACACACACACACACACACACACACACACACACACACACACACACACACACACACACACACACACACACACUUGCACGGACUCGUUAAAUAAAUGCAGUUAUGCACACACACACACGCACUCACAUAUCUCUCUUUUCUGAAUACAUUUACACCAGCAACCCCAAAAACAUGCUGCACUCUCACAAAACUGCACAGGCUGUCUACUAGGGGGACACAGUAAGUGAGACACACAUCACUCUCAAACACAACAUCACACCGUCACAAUGCACGAUGCAGAUGCAAUUAAUGAAUGAGGAAUGGUGCUUCAUGGGAGAUUAGCUCACGUUCACACAAAUAAUCAUUCAGCAUGCUGGACACACAUUUAAUUUGAUCCUAGGUCUUUACUGUACAGCUCAAAACAUUUACUUAUACAAAUAGUACAGUCUCAAACUGGCAUAUUCAAUAAGCUGAAACAAUAGAAAAAAUAAAGCUAACUUAAAUACAAAAAUGAAUAAUAAAAAAGUAAACGCAGUGUUUGCUCUGUCAAACAAAAAGGUUUCUGGCAUUGGUCACAGUGAUUUGUUUGAUCCAAAGUUUUCAGCGACACACAGUAAAAGAAAAACAGCCUGGUUACAACAAUAAAGUGAAAAUGUAUGUUAGGCUUUUCAUAAUUUUUUCUGAAGGCCUUUUGAAAAUUACUGGUGAAUCUACAGGCUUUUCAAGUCUUUCUACACAGCUGCUUCUAGGCACAGAUGAAGCCUCGCCUUCUGGACUCACAGCUCACCGUGUGCAAUGUCAGUUGCUCACAACCAGGAUUAGUCUUUAGUCUAAGCCCAGGAAACCAGCCCCAGCCUCUAAGCCUUGGUGUCUCCAAAACCUUAUUUUGACACAACGGUAGAGAAAUCGCUCUGCAUAGAGAACAGGAGAUUAUCCUUACAAUAUCACUUUCAGUUGGCACAUUAUGCAAAAAUCAGCAUGCAUGGGCACAAUUAAAAUGUUCCAUGUUGUCUACCAUGUAAAUCAUAUGCGCUAUUUCAUGGUAGGAGACCCUACUUCAAGUAUUCAGUAGAUAAGGACCUGAAAAUGGAGGAUUCAUACUCCAUCCCCCCUGAUGAUGAAGUGACAGGAUUUUUGAUCCUCUGUCUGUUUGCAUUGUCUUCCCUUUAAAAAAAAAAAUCAAAAUCAGGACCUUUAUCUGAUCAACUGUAAACACAAACAGCAAAGUUUCACACAAUCUCUUAAUUCUUGAUCAGUGACAGGAGCUGUGAAGAUUCACGUGGGAAGCAGACACAUAAAAGAUGAUGCAUGGAUCACCUCGGUUUGUGGAAGAUGGGCGGAUGGAAAGACGUUUAUAUACAACAACCAACACUUGGCCAUACAAGGGAGAGACACACAGGCACCAUGAUGGGAGGGAGAGGAAGUGGGAAAAGUAACAGUCUACUUCAUUUUUCCACUAUACUGCAACAAUGUGUGUUGUUUUUUUUCUACUUAGUUAGCUGUCACGGUCACAUACAUCACCACUUCUGUUCACGAGACGACAACGACGACAAACACGCCAAAGAAAUGCACCCAGACAGAGUCACUCAAACCUCCACUCGGAUGUUAAUCGUGAUAGUCCUCACUCACAAGUGCAAGCUUCUGACUGCUGAGUGCAGCAGACAUAAUCUCAUUGCUACCUGUGUGAGCUGCAAAAUUUAAAAGAAAAAAAAAAGUUAUUUAAAGUUGUUACCACAGGCCAAGUGGUCUUCAACUGAGUUGUUUUCACAUUAAGGAAUGUAAACGUCGUCUGUUUCUAGACUUCUAGAUAGAUUUGGAUACACUUCACUUUAUUUCCCAUAAACUGCUCUAAAGCUCUUGUUUGUUUUUUGGGCUGUCCUGUAAUUUCAGACAGGGAAUGUUAACUCUGCUGCGGUUUAUUUUUUUCUCACUAAGUACAAAUCAGAGGAAAAUCACACCACUCAACGCUUUGAAUAAGACAUCUCUCUGACCUCCAGCCAGUUAGAAAAAUAACCAUGAAGAAAAAACAUAUAGUAUCUUGUCAGUUUGAAACGAUUUUCUGACCACGUAUAGACACACUCUAUAGAUUUCUCUCUAUAUGUAUAAUAUAUGCAUAUCUAUCAUAUGUGUACAGUUUUUACGAGGCACAGGCCACCUUGUUGAGAAGGAGAAAACAAGUCACUAUGUUCGGGGAGGUCACACAGACUACUGCUGGAAGAGUACAGGGAAGAGGGGAGCAGGAUCAUACUGUAGGUCAGAGCCUGGGGGUGUCAGUGGUACAAAUAGACCUGCAAGGAGAACAUCUACUGGACACUGUCUUCACUUUGUAGUCUAUAACGAUGCUCAUAGAAGCAGUAUUUCUGUGUGUGAGGGACUUGAAGUGAUCACCGCUCACAAAAAGCCCCCAUGUUUUUAAAUCGUAUGUACAAAGCAGUUUUUCAUUGUUGUUUAUGAAGCCCAUUGUGGGAUCAAGUGCCCUCUACUGUAAAAGGGCUAAAAGAUGCUCUUGACCAGGUCUUCUGACACCGUUUAGUUUGAGCACCAGCAGAAGCACCAUUAGUAAAAAUUCCUGCAACACAGAGGAGGUGCAUAGGUGCAUAGUCUCGGAAAAUGAAAGUAAUCUGAUGAAUAUUCUCUGACCACUCUCUUGGCCGCUCUGAUUGGAUGGUUAAUUACAGUUUGAUUUGAUUGAAGUGAUGACAGGAAAUAAAAAUGUACUCACUCUAUGUUGACAUCUGCAUAGAUUAAUUCUUUUUUUUUUUGACUACUUCUGAUUAAAAUGAGGUAACAUGAGGAGAUGACAGCCACAGCCUGAAGGCUCACACAAGCCCAAGAACUGGAGGGCGCUGCUCAUGCAGCCAAGGAAGCCCUCGAUGCUGCAGGCAAGGCUCAAGGCGUACUAUCAGUCAGCUCAAAGCUCUUCCUUUUGCCGACAAGAAAUGACACUAGAAAAACCUAAACUCGCUCAAAUCUGGUGUGUGGAACAUGCUAGUAAAGGUUCACAACAUCACACUUAGAAAUGCUGAGUGGUGGGUGAGGCAUGUACAAAGGUAAAAAAAGAGGUCACUGUGUGCCACAAAGAGUAAAUCUAGCUCAUCGACACAAUCAGAUGGUUUUAACGACAGAAGAGGCUCUUCACACUGAAGGAUGAGGGGGGUCAUGACAGCCAGGUAGAGGGGUCAGAUGUCACCAGAUGGGUGAGAAGGGCAGUGAGGAUCGAUAAACCAUGACCAUGAGUCAGGCGGAGGAGCCAACCAGAGCCAGAGGAGUCAGUCAGGCAGGUGAAACAGUCAGCGAGACAACCAUGAUCUUGAAAAGGAAGAGGGAUGAAGUACAAAAUACUGGGCUGCCAGACAAGGAUCUUCUGCUGGGAGGAUCAAGAGGGCGACGUUGGCCUGUAUGGGCGGAUCGCUCGGCAGGUGACGGACAGGUGAGUUGACCUCUGUGAGACCUCCGAUGCGGAGUGGCUGCCAUGAUGAUUGCACACCCGUCCAAGCCGCAAUUUGACACACAGAACAUGUGUCUCUCCACCGACAUCAAUCCGUCUCUUUCCUUCCACUUGGCUGUGUAGCUGUAAUUGUGCGUGAAGGUAGUGGAGCGUUCACACAAAGAAGAAGGUCCCACAUCACCUGGAGCAGAACAGGAGACUGUCUAAGUUGCAGAUUGGAAACGUAGUAACGUCAUAUUUUCUCUUUGUUUGACAUGACACACUGCAGCGUAUGUGUCCAGGUAAAUGUGUGAAAGUACCUGCACAACUGUCGGUCUCCAUGCGUGACCUGCACACCUGAGUGCCCCCUUUUCUUCCCCGGAGAAAAAAACAAAACAAAAAACAAAGGUCCCAUUGCUGAAUAUUGAUUGAGUAGAGAUAAUAAAUGUUUGUCGGGUAGUGUUUCAACAUCAUGGCAUGGUUGUGCUCCUCCAGUAGUGACUGAAUCAUC